Molecule: long non-coding RNA, 2013 nt
Organism: Astyanax mexicanus (Mexican tetra)
Lineage: Eukaryota; Metazoa; Chordata; Actinopteri; Characiformes; Acestrorhamphidae
Exons: 6
Source: RefSeq, a predicted model, not a curated record
CCUGGCAACCCUGAACGCCAAACACAUUCAACCAUGCGGCUCAGCAGUUAGACUCGUCCCCAAAACAUGUUGGAAAUGCGGCUAAUGGACAGUUAAACCACCCGUCUGACACAUAAAUGGGGUCCAGUGGCUGCAAGCAAAGCAGUGUGACGCACCCCAAGGCAAGUCUACUCAUGGUGCUGCACUCCUGCACCUCCCAGUGGCCUGCUCGAUUAUGCUUCAAUCUCAAGCUUGCCAGACAUCUGUGUGUGAAGAUGGCCUUGAAAAGUCAUCAAGAGUUUAGGCGAAAAAGAAGAGUGCUUGUGCGUCGCUUGCAGAAAUGGAUAAACCAAACAGGAACCUGAACUUCAGCAUGCGAGCAGCCGAGUACUGUUAAACUUAGGGGAAUGGACCACACAGGGAGCGAGAACCUCAUUCCUGCAAGCCUGUGCCCAGAAACAGCAAAAGGAUUAUGUUUACAUUUAGAGUAUGUUGAUGCCACUGAGAACAUCAGGCUACAGGCUAACCAGUCAGAAACUGUUCUGAGGAUUCCUAUGAACAUGACAUUCCUCUGAAUCAAGUUUCUGUGGAAGACUUACCAUUUCCCUGUAAAGAGGAUCCAUAGUGAACCAGAGCGCUACAGCACAUCUCUGCCCUCUAGUGACAGCUCGCACACCAUGCGGGUUCUCACCACCCGAGGAGAAACCCACCAUCCUCCCACACCGCGGCUUUAUAGAUGCCUGUAAGAAAAGGAGCUGCCCUCUGUUUCCUUCUCUACUCUUCAACUGCUGAGAUUACCGCCAGGUCUCCCUCCCACAAUGCAUCAGAACAGAACCACUGUAAAGCAUGCAGCCUAGCCUCUAAGAGUUGGAGAAAUGGAAAGAAUCGCUGAGCAUGAUUGAGAAACGCAAGCGAGCCACAUUCCAGAAUGAGCUCAGUGCUGCUGGGUUUUUCACUGGAGACUCAGCCAAGCCACUUGCUCUGUAAUGAACAUGGGGGAAAGUGGCGUGCCUUACAGAGCAUAAUAGGCCUUCUGUGUCCAAGAACUUGGUAAAUAUAUGAACUGAGCUUUCUUACAUUCUGAAGUUUAGAUUUUUUUUAUAUUCAUGGCAGCAGAUUAUCCUGUGCUGAAUGAGGGAUCUGCUAGCUAGUAAUUUACUUUAUAAUAAUUAUAACGAUACUAUUACAAUUACACAGCCGAAUAUGGGUGUGGUAAUGUAUUAAACAGUUAAAUUUGAACUGGGUAAAUGUGAAUAGUAGUCAAUCUGUUUUUUAUAAAAUGAGCCAUUGUGAAUGAUAAAUGCUAACAAUGGACAAAUAAGCAAUAAACCUAGAAAGUGUUUGGUACGCGCAAACUCACGCAGCAGAAUACACAGUACGCGUGCACACUUUCUCUCUUUCUUUGCACCGCAUUUAAUAAAAGAGCUCAAGCCCCAUUAGAACAUGAAGUUAAUAAAGGUGUGGCUAUACAGAAUGCCCAGCCUCUUUGAUUAUUCUACCAACCGCACCAAAAACAUACUGAACCGUGGGGUUUAUGUGAACUGAACCAUGAUUUUUUUUUUACCAGAUGAGACUACUCUUCAUGAAAGUUGGUAAAUGAAAAACCCUUGAAUGUGUUGGAUGGGCAGUUUACCUUCGACACUAGAGUGUAUGAUGCUUAAAAAUUACACCGUUUAAAAAAAUUGGAAACUUAAAAAUUGCUUAUUGUGUAAGAUUGUUUGCGUCCACUAAACUGCAAUGUGUACUGUUUCCCAUCUGCAGGUUAAAACUUCUCCUAUCAAAUGAUGUUCCAAGCCUUGGAGGCUUCUAUCAUGAACUCAUGAUCCCUCACAUUUGAUGAGCAGCAGUGAAUUUAAUUUCUGUCCUUUUUUGGAAACAAAUGUAAUUUUUUUUAGCUUCUUACUGUUUUACUGUUGACAAACUACAAAACAAAACUAAACUGAAAAAACUGGGUUAACAGUGAGGCUUGCUACAUCAUAGCAUACACAAUAAUAUUAUAAUUUUUGAAACAAUAAAAAUAAAUCCAUAUCAUAA